GCAAGACGCCCCGGGAGCUCGGGUGAACCGGGCUGAGAGGGUGGCUCAGGAUUCCGCCACCGACCGGCACCGACCUGAUCUGGGUAAUGCCAGCGAAGGGAGGCCAUCCACUGAUCCG
This 118-nucleotide non-coding RNA is filed under the name Thermomicrobium roseum. RNAcentral's name for it is "TPP sequence". It matches the Rfam family "TPP riboswitch aptamer (THI element)". From Rfam's summary of the family: Vitamin B(1) in its active form thiamin pyrophosphate (TPP) is an essential coenzyme that is synthesised by coupling of pyrimidine and thiazole moieties in bacteria. Lineage: Bacteria; Pseudomonadati; Thermomicrobiota; Thermomicrobia; Thermomicrobiales; Thermomicrobiaceae. The record is from RNAcentral.